RNAcentral lists this ribosomal RNA (253 nucleotides) under uncultured bacterium. RNAcentral's name for it is "partial 16S ribosomal RNA". It matches the Rfam family "Bacterial small subunit ribosomal RNA", at positions 524 to 776 of the family's 1533-position model. The record is from RNAcentral.
UACGUAGGGUGCGAGCGUUAAUCGGAAUUACUGGGCGUAAAGCGUGCGCAGGCGGUUCGUUGUGUCGGUGGUGAAAUCCCCGGGCUUAACCUGGGAAUGGCGGUUGAAACUACAGGACUAGAAUCUGGCAGAGGGGGGUGGAAUUCCACGUGUAGCAGUGAAAUGCGUAGAGAUGUGGAGGAACACCGAUGGCGAAGGCAGCCCCCUGGGCUGAGAUUGACGCUCAGGCACGAAAGCGUGGGGAGCAAACAGG